Molecule: unclassified non-coding RNA, 218 nt
Filed under: fungal sp.
Lineage: Eukaryota; Fungi
Description: partial internal transcribed spacer region
Rfam family: Eukaryotic small subunit ribosomal RNA (bases 1-46)
Source: RNAcentral
AAGUCGUAACAAGGUUUCCGUAGGUGAACCUGCGGAAGGAUCAUUACAGUGUGCGAGGGUUGUAUGGCCCGAGCAGUGAGAGGGUGUGGUUUUGAUGUGGGGGUUAGUGGGUAUGCAAGUACCCACGAACCUUUUUCAACACAAACAAUGCGAUUUUGAACAAGGUAUGAGCAAGUGAUUACGACACACAACUGUCACCGGUGGAUCUCUUGGCUCGU